Molecule: non-coding RNA, 1754 nt
Organism: Oryza sativa Japonica Group (Japanese rice)
Lineage: Eukaryota; Viridiplantae; Streptophyta; Magnoliopsida; Poales; Poaceae
Source: RefSeq, a predicted model, not a curated record
AUCUCCUCCUGCUGAUCCAUGAUUCAUCAAUACCGCAGUGACAGGGAGCACACACAGGCACAGUAGGGGAGAGGUUGGCAACUGGCCAGUGAGCGAGAGCUGAGUUGAAUGCACAGCGGAAAGGUGGUCCUGGGCUGCCGGUUUCCAAGGAUAAUAAAAACUACCUCCCCCGCUCGCUGCUACGCCCACCCGGCGCUCUGUGCCCUCCUCCCCGUGUUUAUUUAUACGCUCCCAGCUACCACUCUUCACAAAGCGAUAGCCGGAGGAAGAAGAAGAAGCAACAGCAGCAGUCAAGCCAACCCGUCCGGCGAGCAAGAAGCAACCGAGGCAGCAAAAGGAGGAGGAGGGAGGACUCCACUGUUCGCUUGUAUCGUCUUAUGGGGGAAGAGGAUAUCAGCAACGACAGCAAGAGCAGCUGCGGCUGCGAGGACGGCACGGUGGAGGCUCCGGCGGCUGCGGCGCCGAAGGAGAACGGCCGAGCCGCGGACCCGCGCCUCCAGGCCAUCUCCGACGCCAUCCGCGUCGUCCCGCACUUCCCCAAGCCAGGGAUCAUGUUCAACGACAUCACGGCGCUGCUGCUCCGGCCCGCCGCGUUCAAGGACGCCGUGGACAUGUUCGUCGAGCGCUACCGCGGCAUGCGCAUCGCGGCCGUCGCAGGUAUUGAAGCCAGAGGAUUCAUAUUUGGCCCAGCGAUCGCACUAGCAAUUGGAGCAAAAUUCAUACCGUUGCGCAAACCUAAGAAACUCCCAGGUGAGGUAAUUUCUGAGACCUAUAUACUUGAGUAUGGGACGGAUUGUUUGGAGAUGCAUGUUGGAGCUACUGAACCUGGUGAGCGCGUAGUGGUCGUUGAUGAUUUAGUUGCAACCGGUGGAACACUUUGUGCUGCAAUAAAACUUCUUGGACGUGAAGCUGAAUAUCAUGGAUCAUAGUGGAGAAGAUCAUGUAACAUUGUCAAGCAUCAAACAGCUCAGUGAUAAUAUGUAGAGUAGAGGGGCAUCAUGUUCUGUUGACCUUAAGAAAAGUAUGCUCCCCAGUGAGUCAACGGGACAAACUGUUUAUUCAUGGGACAAAAUCCUGUCCGGAAGAUAUGUCCUAUUGGGUGGCUAAUCACCUACAUGCAUGAUAAGACUGGAGGCAUAAUUUUGAUCUUAUCUUACAACCGAAAAGUUCGUGGAUAAGAAUCGAGCAUUCAAGACCCUCCCUUUUCUCUUUUUAUGACACUAAAACAACUAACUAUUCUAGUGUUUACAUCUGUUUAUGCUUAUUGCUCAAACUAUUUGCAUUCCAGAACGAGCUGGAGCUGACGUAGUUGAGUGUGCAUGCCUCAUUGGCCUUCCUAAGUAUAAGAAUUUCUACAAGCUCAAUGGAAAACCAGUUUAUAUACUGGUGGAGUCUCGCAAAUAGAAAGUAACAAAGCAAUGAUCAGAAAGAUUCACAGCUUCAUUCCUUUGCAAGAGCACGUUGGAGGAAUUGGAUCGGUAUUGGUGAGCAGUGACUCUGCACGCAGCACAACUGUUAAUGUAAUCUCGGUGGAGAGAUGAUGAGAUAGAUGAAAUGUAAUCUUUGUAGCACGACUAGUUUUCCAGGUAGUGUCGACGACGAGAGCUUGUAGUUAUUUCUGUCGGGAACUGUUGAUUACCCGGAAGAGAAAGGGAUUAAGGGAAUUGCCAUCCCGCUUGUUCAGUUCCUCUUUUCUUUUCUAGUGACAAUUGUCCUUUUCGCCGCACUUGAUGAUUUAUACUUCUUUGGUAAAA